GUGCUCCCUUCGGCAGCACAUAUACUAAAAUUGGAACGAUACAGAGAAGAUUAGCAUGGUCCCUGCGCAAGAACGACAUGCAAAUUCGUGAAGCAUUCCAUUAAAAA
RNAcentral lists this small nuclear RNA (107 nucleotides) under Heterocephalus glaber (naked mole-rat). The record is from RNAcentral. Lineage: Eukaryota; Metazoa; Chordata; Mammalia; Rodentia; Bathyergidae.